This is a long non-coding RNA of Carassius gibelio (silver crucian carp), 963 nucleotides long. RefSeq lists it as uncharacterized. The transcript has 3 exons. Lineage: Eukaryota; Metazoa; Chordata; Actinopteri; Cypriniformes; Cyprinidae. The record is from RefSeq and is a predicted model, not a curated record.
ACAUGGACUUCUUGUGCCCCAAAAGAAAAGACAGAAAGCUCCUAAAAUGAGCAAAUAAGCUGUGCAUCAUCUCUGUGAUUUGGAAAGGAAAUGACUGAAUAUGAUGAAGCCAGUUGAUGAAGAUAUCAAUUGAAUGGCCACCGAGUGCAUCACUGCUACCUGAACCCAUCAGUUAUCUGCUGUGAAGACUGCAUUCACAAACCGCUCUACUGCGACAGCUCAGAUGUUACGGCCUGUAAAAGUAAACAUCACAGCUAAACAACGAGAGCUAGUUGUGGUGGGAUUCUUUUGGCCAAUAUCCCCAACAAGAAUCAAUGUUAAGUCCAGUGCAACAAUUAUAAAUAAAAAUACUAUAUAUUGUUUAUUGAUUUACCAUACCCUAAAUACAUGUUUUGGCCCUCCAGGACAUCUAGACCAGGUGGAGUGUGAGGAGGACCGUCAGAGACUCCAGCCAGCCGAGCCAUGGAUUGCUCUCACUGUUACCAUCAGGCAGACGUUAUCACAGAACCUACACCAGCAGACAGUGAGACAAGUUCCUUUCACAGGCAAUCAGACUGAACUGAACUCAUACCAGUAAAACCAUACACGCCCCACCAACCUCAUAUGCCCUGCACUCUUAUCAGUUAUGCUGACUGGACUCAAUAUUAUUAUGCACCCUGACAUUCUGUUUGCACUAAUUCAUACCGUGCUUUACUGCAGAGAUGUAUGUGUACUGUGAUUAUUAUUGUUUUCAAUUCAUGCUCUCUGUAUAGCAUAAUUUUUAACAUAUAUUGUUCUCUACCUGAAUUGAGUCCCUUAUAUAUGUGUGUUGCAUAUAUAUAUUCAGAAUUUGUAUUACAUAUAUUCAUGAUUUUAAUUCAUUUGUCAUCCAUACUGUCACGCUGCAGUCUGCACCCAAGACUUUCAUCACCUGUAUACUUGUGUUCAUUGUAUUGUGACAAUAAAGAUAUUUGAUUUAAAUUA